Molecule: ribosomal RNA, 500 nt
Filed under: Garcialebias reicherti
Lineage: Eukaryota; Metazoa; Chordata; Actinopteri; Cyprinodontiformes; Rivulidae
Description: Austrolebias reicherti partial 16S ribosomal RNA
Rfam family: Bacterial large subunit ribosomal RNA
Source: RNAcentral
CGCCUCUUGCAUAUAUUAUAAGAGGUCUUACCUGCCCAGUGACGCAAGUUUAACGGCCGCGGUAUUUUGACCGUGCAAAGGUAGCGUAAUCAAUCGUCUUUUAAAUGGAGACCUGUAUGAAUGGUGAAACGAAAACUCAACUGUCUCAUUCUUUUAACCAAUGAAAUUGUUUUUUCCGUGCGGAAGCGGGAAUAAAUCCAUAAGACAAAAAGACCCUGUGGAGCUUUAGACUUCUGCUUACAUCUUAGAUUGGGGCGAUCACGGAGAAAACAUACCCUCCCUGAAGAAAUUCAUAAUUAAGAGCUACCGCUCUAAAUAUUAAAAUAUUUGACUUUAUGAACCGGCUCGCCGAUUAACGAACCCAGUUACCCCAGGGAUAACAGCGCAAUCCCCUUAAAGAGCACUUAUCACCAAGGGGGUUUACGACCUCGAUGUUGGAUCAGGACAUCCUAAUGGCGCAUCCACUAUUAAGGGUUCGUUUGUUCAACGAUUAAAGUCCU